Long non-coding RNA from Glycine soja, 706 nucleotides. RefSeq lists it as uncharacterized. The record is from RefSeq and is a predicted model, not a curated record. NCBI's taxonomy places the organism in Eukaryota, Viridiplantae, Streptophyta, Magnoliopsida, Fabales, Fabaceae. The transcript is spliced from 6 exons.
CUCCGUUCGCUUUUUAGCGGUUUCGAACAUUCGGAGGAAUUUCUCUCUCGCUCUCUCUCUUCAAUUCAACACUUCGAGAAAUCGAAGACACAGUAGGUAAAGAGAUUUUUCAUCACACACCCUACUCAAUCAAAAACUUAAGAUUUCUGUAUGGUGGGAUCUUAAAAAAUAUAGUGAUUCCAAAUAUUAAAUGGGGUGUCUUUGAACUGAUGAUGAGGUAUAUAUACACUGGAACAGUAAAUGUCAAUUUGGAUAUUGCUGAGGACCUCUGGAGAGCUGCAGAUCAGUAUCUUCUGGACCACCUUAAGAGAUAUUUCUGAGGAAAAUGUUGCACUAAUGUACAAGAUGUCGAAGGAAGGAUUGGGAUGUUACUUCAUCAAAACAUGCAUGUAUACGGUUUAUGCUGGAGAAUUUUUUAGGCUGAGGUCGAAACAAUGGUAUUGUCGCAUGGUUCAUCGCAUUGUACCAGACAUUCUGACUCGUGAGUAACCCUAGACUUUAACCGUGACAACAGGAAAUUUGAAAAAAUGUACAAGGGUGUAAACUUCUUGUUCCAUGGUGGAGGAAUAGUCAUUUAUUUUGUCUCAAGUUAUACGGCUACACACUAUACUUUAUCAUUUUAAAAUGAAUUUUUUUUUAUGGAGAUUGAGUUAUGCUAUUUCAUUCAUAAUCAUUUGAGCAUUACAUGAUGGAACAUUGCUAAACA